This 406-nucleotide ribosomal RNA is filed under the name uncultured bacterium. RNAcentral's name for it is "partial 16S ribosomal RNA". It matches the Rfam family "Bacterial small subunit ribosomal RNA", at positions 28 to 526 of the family's 1533-position model. The record is from RNAcentral.
GAUUAACGCUGGCGGCGUGCAUAACACAUGCAAGUCGAACGAAGUGGCGGACGGGUGAGUAACGCGUGAGUAACACGCCUUAGAGAUGGGGAUAGCCUCUGGAAACGGAGAAUAAUACCCAAUGCUCUAAGAUGGACUUGCGUCUGAUUAGCUAGUUGGUGAGAUAAAAGCUCACCAAGGCGACGAUCAGUAGCCGGCUUGAGAGAGGGGGCGGCAACAUUGGGAAUGGGACACGGCGCAGACUCUACGGGAGGCAGCAGUGGGGAAUUUUGCACAAUGGGGGAGACCCUGAUGCUGCGGCGCCGCAUGAUUUAGAAGGCCGUCAGGUUGUAAAAAUCUUUUGUAUAGAAAUCGGUACUAUACGAGUAAGGACCGGCUAAUUACGUGCCAGCCGCCGCGGUAAUAC